RNAcentral lists this long non-coding RNA (935 nucleotides) under Pan troglodytes (chimpanzee). Its description in RNAcentral is "long non-coding RNA NONPTRT010501". The record is from RNAcentral. Lineage: Eukaryota; Metazoa; Chordata; Mammalia; Primates; Hominidae.
ACUGUAUACCUGACUAACAGUGGCCUGAACAAAUAACGACAUAAUUUUCUCACCUUAUGAGAAGGCUGGAGCUGGUACAUGACACACGAUGUGCUUCUUCUCCUGCCAUCUGGUUGGCAACAUUCAGAUGAAAGCUACUCCAUCAUCUUGAAUCCUGGAGUGAAGAUGAGAUGGGGAAGAACUAAGCUGACCUUUGAUGAACAGACGGCAUGAGCGUAAAAUGAACCUUUAUUGUAAGUCAGUGAGGCUGGCGGGGGCAUGUUAAUGACUGUGGCAUGCCCUUGACUGAUUAUAUUCUUCACUGACAUGCUGCCUAGCAUGCAGAGGCCAUGCGACCCUUGGGGAGGCUCCUACUUGCCUUGGAAAAGCAGCUCCUCCUCUUCUCAAAUGUAAUAAUGGAAACCUUACAUGGGUGGAUCCAGGGGUAAAGCUCUUUGUGGUGUAUAGCAACAGAAUGUUAAGUCAAAGUGGUUGUCAACAAAGUUUAUCGAACAGCAGCUAUAUUUUUUAUAAUGAACACUGGUUUGCCUGGAACCUUGAAGUAACCAUGAAUUUUUCCUAGACCCUAAUACUAUCAGAAAGAAGCAAAUCACCCAACAAUAAGAUCAGUAACUAAAACCAACAAAUCCCAAAGGCAUCUCACAGUGCUGGCAUAUGUUUUUGCCAUAGCUCAUGCUCAUAAACUGCAAUGAGCCAACCCUGGCAUCAUGAAGGACCCCGAUUUUAAAAAUGGGUAAAGAAGUUUUGAAAGCCUGGGCAACAUAGUGAGACCAUUCUCUUUAAAAAAAAAAAAUUAGCCAGGCAUGGUUGGUCAUGCAUCUGUAGUUCCAGCUACUUGGGAGACUGAGGCAGGAGGAUUACUUGAGCCCAGGAAGUCAAGAUUGCAGUCAGCCAUGAUUGCACCACUGCACUCCAGCCUGGGCAAUAGAGUGAGA